GAUGAACGCUGGCGGCGUGCCUAAUACAUGCAAGUCGAGCGAACAGACGAGGAGCUUGCUCCUUUGACGUUAGCGGCGGACGGGUGAGUAACACGUGGGUAACCUACCUAUAAGACUGGGAUAACUUCGGGAAACCGGAGCUAAUACCGGAUAAUAUUUCGAACUGCAUGGUUCGAUAGUGAAAGAUGGCUUUGCUAUCACUUAUAGAUGGACCUGCGCCGUAUUAGCUAGUUGGUAAGGUAACGGCUUACCAAGGCAACGAUACGUAGCCGACCUGAGAGGUGAUCGGCCACACUGGAACUGAGACACGGUCCAGACUCCUACGGAGGCAGCAGUAGGGAAUCUUCCGCAAUGGGCGAAAGCCUGACGGAGCAACGCCGCGUGAGUGAUGAAGGUCUUCGGAUACGUAAAACUCUGUUAUUAGGAAGAACAAACGUGUAAGUAACUGU
Molecule: ribosomal RNA, 449 nt
Filed under: uncultured bacterium
Lineage: Bacteria
Description: bacterial SSU rRNA
Rfam family: Bacterial small subunit ribosomal RNA
Source: RNAcentral